Molecule: ribosomal RNA, 444 nt
Filed under: uncultured bacterium
Lineage: Bacteria
Description: bacterial SSU rRNA
Rfam family: Bacterial small subunit ribosomal RNA
Source: RNAcentral
AUUGAACGCUGGCGGCAGGCCUAACACAUGCAAGUCGAAUGGUAACAGGAAACAGCUUGCUGUUUCGCUGACGAGUGGCGGACGGGUGAGUAAUGUCUGGGAAACUGCCUGAUGGAGGGGGAUAACUACUGGAAACGGUAGCUAAUACCGCAUAACGUCGCAAGACCAAAGAGGGGGACCUUCGGGCCUCUUGCCAUCAGAUGUGCCCAGAUGGGAUUAGCUAGUAGGUGGGGUAACGGCUCACCUAGGCGACGAUCCCUAGCUGGUCUGAGAGGAUGACCAGCCACACUGGAACUGAGACACGGUCCAGACUCCUACGGGAGGCAGCAGUGGGGAAUAUUGCACAAUGGGCGCAAGCCUGAUGCAGCCAUGCCGCGUGUAUGAAGAAGGCCUUCGGGUUGUAAAGUACUUUCAGCGGGGAGGAAGGGAGUAAAGUUAAUACCU